GCGCCCGUAGCUCAACUGGCAGAGCGAGGCCCUCCUAAGGCCUAGGCUGGAGGUUCGAGUCCUCCCGGGCGUG
RNAcentral lists this transfer RNA (73 nucleotides) under bacterium. RNAcentral describes it as "tRNA-Arg". It matches the Rfam family "tRNA". Rfam says of the family: Transfer RNA (tRNA) molecules are approximately 80 nucleotides in length. The record is from RNAcentral.